AUUGAACGCUGGCGGCAUGCUUUACACAUGCAAGUCGAACGGUAACAGGUUACGCUGACGAGUGGCGAACGGGUGAGUAAUGCAUCGGAACGUGCCCAGUCGUGGGGGAUAACGCAGCGAAAGCUGCGCUAAUACCGCAUACGAUCUGAGGAUGAAAGCGGGGGACCGUAAGGCCUCGCGCGACCGGAGCGGCCGAUGUCAGAUUAGGUAGUUGGUGAGGUAAAGGCUCACCAAGCCAACGAUCUGUAGCUGGUCUGCGAGGACGACCAGCCACACGUGGACUGAGCGAGGGCCCGGACGCCUGCGGGAGGCGUAGAUGGGGUGUGUUGGACUAUGGGCGGAAGCCUGAUCAGGGUAUGCCGCGGGCAGGCAGCGGGCCUUCGGGCUGUAAACUGCUGUUGUGCGGAGGGAAAAGGCACUCUCUAGAACAGCGAGCUCGUGGCGGUACCGAAAGAAUAAGCACCGGCUAAGUACGUGCCUGACGCCGCCGGAA
This 493-nucleotide ribosomal RNA is filed under the name uncultured bacterium. RNAcentral describes it as "partial 16S ribosomal RNA". It matches the Rfam family "Bacterial small subunit ribosomal RNA", at positions 29 to 523 of the family's 1533-position model. The record is from RNAcentral.